CCACCUCCCAUCCGUGUCUAUCUGUACCCUGUUGCUUCGGCGUGGCUACGGCCCGCCGAAGACUAACAUUUGAACACUGUCUGAAGUUUGCAGUCUGAGUUUUUAGUUAAACAAUAAUUAAAACUUUCAACAACGGAUCUCUUGGUUCCGGCAUCGAUGAAGAACGCAGCGAAAUGCGAUAAUUAAUGUGAAUUGCAGAAUUCAGUGAAUCAUCGAGUCUUUGAACGCACAUUGCGCCCCCUGGUAUUCCGGGGGGCAUGCCUGUCCGAGCGUCAUUGCUGCCCUCAAGCACGGCUUGUGUGUUGGGCUUCCGUCCCUGGUAACGGGGACGGGCCCAAAAGGCAGUGGCGGCACCAUGUCUGGUCCUCGAGCGUAUGGGGCUUUGUCACCCGCUCCCGUAGGUCCAGCUGGCAGCUAGCCUCGCAACCAAUCUUUUUAACCAGGUUGACCUCGGAUCAGGUAGGGAUACCCGCUGAACUUAAGCAUAU
This 488-nucleotide ribosomal RNA is filed under the name Aspergillus ruber. RNAcentral describes it as "eukaryotic LSU rRNA". The stretch from base 122 to 275 matches the Rfam family "5.8S ribosomal RNA". The record is from RNAcentral. Lineage: Eukaryota; Fungi; Ascomycota; Eurotiomycetes; Eurotiales; Aspergillaceae.